This 445-nucleotide ribosomal RNA is filed under the name uncultured bacterium. RNAcentral describes it as "partial 16S ribosomal RNA". It matches the Rfam family "Bacterial small subunit ribosomal RNA", at positions 354 to 796 of the family's 1533-position model. The record is from RNAcentral.
GUGAGGAAUAUUGCGCAAUGGAGGCAACUCUGACGCAGCCAUGCCGCGUGCAGGAAGAAGGCGCUACGCGUUGUAAACUGCUUUUAACCGGGAAGAAACCCCAGGACGUGUCCUGGGUUGACGGUACCGGAGGAAUAAGCACCGGCUAACUUCGUGCCAGCAGCCGCGGUAAUACGAAGGGUGCAAGCGUUAUCCGGAUUCAUUGGGUUUAAAGGGUGCGUAGGCGGAGCGUUAAGUCAGUGGUGAAGUCCUGCAGCUUAACUGUAGACUUGCCAUUGAUACUGGCGCUCUUGAGUGCGCUUGAAGUGGGCGGAAUGUGCCGUGUAGCGGUGAAAUGCUUAGAUAUGGCACAGAACACCAAUUGCGAAGGCAGCUCACUAAGGCGAUACUGACGCUGAGGCACGAAAGCGUGGGGAUCGAACAGGAUUAGAUACCCCAGUAGUCC